UGGGGAAUAUUGGACAAUGGGGGCAACCCUGAUCCAGCAAUGCCGCGUGUGUGAAGAAGGUCUUCGGAUUGUAAAGCACUUUCGACGGGGACGAUGAUGACGGUACCCGUAGAAGAAGCCCCGGCUAACUUCGUGCCAGCAGCCGCGGUAAUACGAAGGGGGCUAGCGUCGCUCGGAAUGACUGGGCGUAAAGGGCGUGUAGGCGGUUUACACAGUCAGAUGUGAAAUCCCCGGGCUUAACCUGGGAGCUGCAUUUGAUACGUGUAGACUAGAGUGUGAGAGAGGGUUGUGGAAUUCCCAGUGUAGAGGUGAAAUUCGUAGAUAUUGGGAAGAACACCGGUGGCGAAGGCGGCAACCUGGCUCAUUACUGACGCUGAGGCGCGAAAGCGUGGGGAGCAAACNGGAUUAGAUACCCUGGUAGUCCACGCUGUAAACGAUGUGUGCUAGAUGUUGGGUAACUUUGUUAUUCAGUGUCGCAGUUAACGCGUUAAGCACACCGCCUGGGGAAGUACGGCCGCAA
RNAcentral lists this ribosomal RNA (520 nucleotides) under uncultured bacterium. RNAcentral describes it as "partial 16S ribosomal RNA". It matches the Rfam family "Bacterial small subunit ribosomal RNA", at positions 355 to 891 of the family's 1533-position model. The record is from RNAcentral.